This 266-nucleotide ribosomal RNA is filed under the name uncultured bacterium. Its description in RNAcentral is "partial 16S ribosomal RNA". It matches the Rfam family "Bacterial small subunit ribosomal RNA", at positions 338 to 621 of the family's 1533-position model. The record is from RNAcentral.
CCUACGGGAGGCAGCAGUGGGGAAUAUUGCACAAUGGGGGGAACCCUGAUGCAGCGACGCCGCGUGAGUGAAGAAGUAUUUUGGUAUGUAAAGCUCUAUCAGCAGGGAAGAAAAUGACGGUACCUGACUAAGAAGCCCCGGCUAACUACGUGCCAGCAGCCGCGGUAAUACGUAGGGGGCAAGCGUUAUCCGGAUUUACUGGGUGUAAAGGGAGCGUAGACGGCUUUGCAAGCCAGAUGUCAAAGCCCGGCGCUCAACCCCGGGAC